This is a long non-coding RNA of Bos taurus (domestic cattle), 956 nucleotides long. Lineage: Eukaryota; Metazoa; Chordata; Mammalia; Artiodactyla; Bovidae. The record is from Ensembl.
CAGCUAUUUAGGACAGAAACAUCCAAGGCCGUGUUAGAACUCAAUUACGACUACAUAUGCGUUAAAGCAGGAACUGGCAGGCCUCUGGACUACAGCAACUAUAGGACUUGGGCUUCUCGUACGCUGGGCCAUAAUUUAUGGAACUGAGCCCCAGAUCCAGCCAAUCAUUUAGCUCCUCAUAACAAGUCUGACUGGCUCUGGAAAGCUGAAAGGGCUGCACUAGAACAACAGAGAUGAGAUAUUCCACAUAACACUCAGCUUAUCUGGAAUCACUUUCCCUUGCAAGGCCAGAAAAAAAUCAUAGCUUUACUGCCCAAGGGAAGCACGACAAAGGACUGGGAAAUGCGACUUCACCUGGAGCAAGAUCUGUUAUGCUUUGGCAAGAUCAACCUCGCCGACCUUAAAGGACCCAGGUACCCCUGGGACACAGAGGGCAACCACAGCAGCAAAAACCCAAAGAUGGCUGACUGAAUUUAACUUGAGAUUUGACACCAAGAAGAAAAACAGAAACACAGGGAACAGAAAAAUGCUGCUGCUCAUGGUGACUGUGUGAGAACUGAAACUUCUGAGGGAAGCCAGGUUGUUAAAAUUGUGAUUCCAUUUACUCAACAAUAACAAGGAUGAUCUAGUCUGAAAGGGAAAGCAUGCUCUUAAGGUAACGUUGGCAUUGAAUCUUCACACCCAGAAUUUUGUCAUUGAAUCCUCAACACCCAGAACUCCCUGUUUCUCAUUCCCCAAAUAAAAUUAUGUUAAGAUCUCUUCAAAUUCCAAUGUUCAAAUCAUUUUUCAAUAGACAAGACCAAGAAUACUCUAAACUAAGGCAUUUAAAUUAUUUCACAUGAUAGUUGCCCAGAAAUUUCCUACAGGAAAAUUUUACCUUUGACAACUUUGAAGAUAACCAUCUCCCCACUCAAAACAAUGGCAAGCAACCAACUAGCAAGUCUUUGAGUCAGAAG